This 253-nucleotide ribosomal RNA is filed under the name uncultured prokaryote. RNAcentral's name for it is "partial 16S ribosomal RNA". It matches the Rfam family "Bacterial small subunit ribosomal RNA", at positions 524 to 776 of the family's 1533-position model. The record is from RNAcentral.
UACGUAGGCAGCAAGCGUUGUUCGGAGUUACUGGGCGUAAAGGGUGUGUAGGCGGUUCCCUAAGUUUGGUGUGAAAUCUCCCGGCUUAACCGGGAGGGUGCGCCGAAAACUGGGGAGCUAGAGUAUGGGAGAGGAAAGUGGAAUUCCUGGUGUAGCGGUGAAAUGCGUAGAUAUCGGUAGGAACACCAGUGGCGAAGGCGGUCUUCUGGGGUUGUCUUGACGCUGAGGCGCGAAAGCUGGGGGAGCGAACGGG